UGUCUGCUUGCCUCUCUCACUAGCAACCAAUCCUGAUAAAUCUAUUUCUGGCCUAUCGCUUUAUCUCCGACUGAAUUCCUUCUGCGUAGAGACAUGAAGAGCCUGAGCCUUAGUGACUCCAGACACAGGGAACACCACAGAAGGGAUGCUGUGUUCUUCUCAGUGCAUCGUUAUCAGGAGUGCACGAUACCAGGUGAUGUCGAUUUGUCCCAUCACCAGAGAUGGCAAAAGAGAUGUCCUGUUCUGUUAUCACGUGGAACAGUGACAGUACACGCUCCACAUCUAACGAGGGCAGGAAGGAUGCAUCCUUGCUCAUCCUGCUACUUCAGUGUCCUUCUAACAGAGAGAUUCUCCUGGGUGGGCACCAAGGACCACUCAGCAGAAAAGAGAAGAGUAAUUUAUAGGGACUGAAAGCAAAUCAGUGAUCUGGGUUAGCAGGGUAGGAGAGUUGUUUACUGACUGUGGAGGAGACUCUAGGACCUUGGCAAAUUCCUGGAUCACCCAAGUUCCAGUAUUCUAUAAAAUAAGGAAUCACACCUCUUCACAGGGCAUCUAAGAGGAAGAAAUGAGAUGUGUGUCCUACAUGCAGUAGAAGAUUUUGUAAGCUCUGGAUAGCGGUCUCCUCACCGGUCUUGUCCCCUGCUCUGUCACCAGUACCCAGCAUGUGCAAGGAACAGAGGAAGUGCUCAAUGGGUGUGCAUUUGUGACCAUAUGAAAAGCAGGCCAGAUGAACCUUGGGGAAAUAUCGCUAAAUGUUGCAGAGGUGACUGGAUGAUCAGAUGAGUAUUGCCACACAGGUAAUGCCUGCUGCUUCGGAAAAAAUCAGAGGUCGCGAGGCUGGAAACCAAUAUGUCAAGUUGAGAAGUGAGGAAUUGCAGGAUAGAAACUCGCUUUGUAAAACCAGUACAGCUGAGGAGACAGAAGCAAGGAACUGUGGCUUCACAGAAUCGGUCAAAGCCAUACAAGCCAGAUUUCCUUGAAACUUCAAUGUUUACGACACUACCAAACACUGAGAUGAAAUCCAGUUCAAUUAAGCAGGUGUUCACUGAACGGCAGCUCCUCGUCAAGCUCUUUUCUAGGCACUGGGAGCAUCACGCAAAGAGGAUAAAGCAGAGCCAUUUGCUCUCCAAGAGCUGACAGCUUAGGUGUGGAGACCACACACACACACGGGAGCCAGGUAAACCGCUCACCUGGACUGCUGACCUAAGUGGCCCUCACCCUAUGUGCUCGCCCAAGUGCUGCAGCCGGGAGUCAGGGGUUGAGAGCCGAGUGUCGGCCGAACAGUGAAGGAAGACACAGGGCUCCCAGGACCCCCUCUCUGAAAGCAACAAGGCCCUGAGGAGUUGUCCUUGUCUGGUCAUCCUCCAAGAAAUACAGAAUCUUUGGAUGAGGAGGACCACGUGCCCAGUGAGCUCCUCCCAGGGGCCAACGUCCACCUCUUCACCUCGAGGUUCUCAGCUUUAAGGUCACUUCCAGACAGGUCUUCCCAGGCCUCUCAGUUUAAAACUAGGUCCUGGAGUUCCUGCUGCGGCUCAGCGGUUAACGAAUCCGACUAGGAAC
Long non-coding RNA from Phacochoerus africanus (Common warthog), 1560 nucleotides. RefSeq lists it as uncharacterized. NCBI's taxonomy places the organism in Eukaryota, Metazoa, Chordata, Mammalia, Artiodactyla, Suidae. The transcript is spliced from 10 exons. The record is from RefSeq and is a predicted model, not a curated record.